This 305-nucleotide ribosomal RNA is filed under the name uncultured bacterium. RNAcentral's name for it is "bacterial SSU rRNA". It matches the Rfam family "Bacterial small subunit ribosomal RNA", at positions 333 to 655 of the family's 1533-position model. The record is from RNAcentral.
GUGGUCCUACGGGGCGCAGCAGUGGGGAAUAUUGCACAAUGGGGGAAACCCUGAUGCAGCGACGCCGCGUGAGCGAUGAAGUAUUUCGGUAUGUAAAGCUCUAUCAGCAGGGAAGAAAAUGACGGUACCUGACUAAGAAGCCCCGGCUAACUACGUGCCAGCAGCCGCGGUAAUACGUAGGGGGCAAGCGUUAUCCGGGUUUACUGGGGGUAAAGGGAGCGUAGACGGUCCUGCAAGCCAGAUGUGAAAGCCCGGGGCUCAACCCCGGGACUGCAUUGGGAACGGUAAGGCUAGAGGGUCGGAGG